UACGAAGGGGGCUAGCGUUGCUCGGAUUCACUGGGCGUAAAGGGUGCGCAGGCGGCCAAGUGUGUGAGGCGUGAAAGCCUGGGGCUUAACUCCAGAAUUGCACCUCAAACUACAUGGCUAGAGCAUUGGAGAGGGUAGCAGAAUUCACGGUGUAGCAGUGAAAUGCGUAGAUAUCGUGAGGAAUACCAGAGGCGAAGGCGGCUACCUGGACAAUUGCUGACGCUCAGGCACGAAAGCGUGGGGAGCAAAAGGG
This 253-nucleotide ribosomal RNA is filed under the name uncultured bacterium. RNAcentral describes it as "partial 16S ribosomal RNA". It matches the Rfam family "Bacterial small subunit ribosomal RNA", at positions 524 to 776 of the family's 1533-position model. The record is from RNAcentral.